UACGUAGGGGCUAGCGUUAUCCGGAAUUACUGGGCGUAAAGGGUGCGUAGGUGGUUUCUUAAGUCAGAGGUGAAAGGCUACGGCUCAACCGUAGUAAGCCUUUGAAACUGGGAAACUUGAGUGCAGGAGAGGAGAGUGGAAUUCCUAGUGUAGCGGUGAAAUGCGUAGAUAUUAGGAGGAACACCAGUUGCGAAGGCGGCUCUCUUGACUGUAACUGACACUGAGGCACGAAAGCGUGGGGAGCAAACAGGAUUAGAUACCCCGGUAGUCCCUGAGCGGGCU
This 282-nucleotide ribosomal RNA is filed under the name uncultured prokaryote. RNAcentral describes it as "partial 16S ribosomal RNA". It matches the Rfam family "Bacterial small subunit ribosomal RNA", at positions 524 to 817 of the family's 1533-position model. The record is from RNAcentral.